UCAUAUUGUAAGAUAUCAACAUGUAAAGCUGUGAAGUAAGAUUUUGAUAUCAUUACAUGAUGUACUCAUUUCAAAUAUUUUAGCAAGUGUUGCAUUUCUUCACAUGGUAAGAUAUCAACUCAAGGCAAAAUGCAAUUUAAUGCAUGGCAUCUGUUCAUAUAUCUCUUGGUGAUGCAAGCAUGGCAUAGUCAUAGCAUCAGUGUUUAUAGCAUCAAUUCAUAUAUUUCUCACCCCUUUGUCAUCAACAAAAAGCAUGGUAGAUGUGAUACAAGGAGAACAAUAUAAGCAAGUUAUCAAGCAUAUAAAGGAAGGCAUGAUACAUAGAUUGCUUUGAAUACUUCUUCCUUUUUUUUUCUUAUUAUAAUCCUUUGUGCAUGAAGGAGGAAAGCCAUUUGUGAUUCCAGCUAUUUGUGAGUUUACUUUGAGUCAAGAUAUGUGUUUGAAACAGCUUUUUGCAAGUAAAAAU
RNAcentral lists this long non-coding RNA (466 nucleotides) under Musa acuminata (dwarf banana). RNAcentral describes it as "long non-coding RNA (MACU_LNC008656)". The record is from RNAcentral. Lineage: Eukaryota; Viridiplantae; Streptophyta; Magnoliopsida; Zingiberales; Musaceae.